UUUCUAAUUUCAGAAAAUUAAGGAUGGGACUUGAGAAGCUAGCUUGCAAGUUAUGAUUAAACGAGUUUCAAAGAUCUUUCAGGCAUGACAGAAUCAUGGAAGGUCUUAAUGUUACUGAAGAAAUGUUGAACCCUAACUCAGUGGCGAGGCAGAUAAGCGACCAAAUUUCGCUUGCAAAAGCUUUUGUUGUGAUCCAUAAACUCUGUUUUACUUAUUGCUCAAAUGGUUUUGAUUGUUCUAGUGCUGAGAUUUUUAAUUGCAUGUUAUAGCAGUUACUUGAUUUUCUAGUACCAUGAUUCUUAGUCCCACUAAAGAUUUAUUGGUCUAAAUCUAUUACUAAUUUCUAGUACUUUA
Long non-coding RNA from Humulus lupulus (European hop), 354 nucleotides. RefSeq lists it as uncharacterized. The transcript is spliced from 2 exons. The record is from RefSeq and is a predicted model, not a curated record. Lineage: Eukaryota; Viridiplantae; Streptophyta; Magnoliopsida; Rosales; Cannabaceae.